Molecule: ribosomal RNA, 715 nt
Filed under: uncultured bacterium
Lineage: Bacteria
Description: bacterial SSU rRNA
Rfam family: Bacterial small subunit ribosomal RNA
Source: RNAcentral
AGCGGCGGAAGGGAGAGGAUAAGGUAGAAAUCUACCCUCGGGACGGGGAUAGCUGCGGGAAACUGCUGGUAAUACCCGAUAAUAUCUUUGGAUCAAAGGUGUGAUUCCGCCUGGGGAUGAGUCUACUUCCUAUUAGCUAGUUGGCAGGGUAAUGGCCUACCAAGGCAACGAUGGGUAGCGGGUGUGAGAGCAUGACCCGCCUCACUGGGACUGAGAACUGCCCAGACACCUACGGGUGGCUGCAGUCGAGAAUCUUCGGCAAUGGGCGCAAGCCUGACCGAGCGACGCCGCGUGCGGGAUGAAGGCCUUCGGGUUGUAAACCGCUGUCGUAGGGGAACAAAUGUAAGGGGGUUCUCCCUUUUACUUGAGUGAUCCUAGGAGGAAGGGGAGGCUAAGCUCGUGCCAGCAGCCGCGGUAAGACGAGCUCCCCGAACGUUAUUCGGUAUUACUGGGCUUAAAGAGUUCGUAGGCGGCCCGACAGGUGAGGUGUGAAAUCCCUCGGCUCAACCGAGGAACUGCGCUUCAAACCGUCAGGCUUGAGGGAGAUAGAGGUGAGCGGAACAGAUGGUGGAGCGGUGAAAUGCGUUGAUAUCAUCUGGAACACCGGUGGCGAAAGCGGCUCACUGGAUCUUUUCUGACGCUGAGGAACGAAAGCUAGGGUAGCGAACGGGAUUAGAUACCCCGGUAGUCCUAGCCGUAAACGAUGAGCACUAGC